Molecule: ribosomal RNA, 1707 nt
Filed under: Salmonella enterica subsp. enterica serovar Oranienburg
Lineage: Bacteria; Pseudomonadati; Pseudomonadota; Gammaproteobacteria; Enterobacterales; Enterobacteriaceae
Description: bacterial LSU rRNA
Rfam family: Bacterial large subunit ribosomal RNA
Source: RNAcentral
GAAGGUGGCCUGUGAGGGUUGCUGGAGGUAUCAGAAGUGCGAAUGCUGACAUAAGUAACGAUAAAGCGGGUGAAAAGCCCGCUCGCCGGAAGACCAAGGGUUCCUGUCCAACGUUAAUCGGGGCAGGGUGAGUCGACCCCUAAGGCGAGGCCGAAAGGCGUAGUCGAUGGGAAACGGGUUAAUAUUCCCGUACUUGGUGUUACUGCGAAGGGGGGACGGAGAAGGCUAUGUUGGCCGGGCGACGGUUGUCCCGGUUUAAGCGUGUAGGUGUGUGUUCCAGGUAAAUCCGGUUCACUUUAACACUGAGGCGUGAUGACGAGGCACUACGGUGCUGAAGCAACAAAUGCCCUGCUUCCAGGAAAAGCCUCUAAGCAUCAGGUAACAUCAAAUCGUACCCCAAACCGACACAGGUGGUCAGGUAGAGAAUACCAAGGCGCUUGAGAGAACUCGGGUGAAGGAACUAGGCAAAAUGGUGCCGUAACUUCGGGAGAAGGCACGCUGACAUGUAGGUGAAGUGAUUUACUCACGGAGCUGAAGUCAGUCGAAGAUACCAGCUGGCUGCAACUGUUUAUUAAAAACACAGCACUGUGCAAACACGAAAGUGGACGUAUACGGUGUGACGCCUGCCCGGUGCCGGAAGGUUAAUUGAUGGGGUCAGCGCAAGCGAAGCUCCUGAUCGAAGCCCCGGUAAACGGCGGCCGUAACUAUAACGGUCCUAAGGUAGCGAAAUUCCUUGUCGGGUAAGUUCCGACCUGCACGAAUGGCGUAAUGAUGGCCAGGCUGUCUCCACCCGAGACUCAGUGAAAUUGAACUCGCUGUGAAGAUGCAGUGUACCCGCGGCAAGACGGAAAGACCCCGUGAACCUUUACUAUAGCUUGACACUGAACAUUGAGCCUUGAUGUGUAGGAUAGGUGGGAGGCUUUGAAGUGUGGACGCCAGUCUGCAUGGAGCCGACCUUGAAAUACCACCCUUUAAUGUUUGAUGUUCUAACGUGGACCCGUAAUCCGGGUUGCGGACAGUGUCUGGUGGGUAGUUUGACUGGGGCGGUCUCCUCCUAAAGAGUAACGGAGGAGCACGAAGGUUGGCUAAUCCUGGUCGGACAUCAGGAGGUUAGUGCAAUGGCAUAAGCCAGCUUGACUGCGAGCGUGACGGCGCGAGCAGGUGCGAAAGCAGGUCAUAGUGAUCCGGUGGUUCUGAAUGGAAGGGCCAUCGCUCAACGGAUAAAAGGUACUCCGGGGAUAACAGGCUGAUACCGCCCAAGAGUUCAUAUCGACGGCGGUGUUUGGCACCUCGAUGUCGGCUCAUCACAUCCUGGGGCUGAAGUAGGUCCCAAGGGUAUGGCUGUUCGCCAUUUAAAGUGGUACGCGAGCUGGGUUUAGAACGUCGUGAGACAGUUCGGUCCCUAUCUGCCGUGGGCGCUGGAGAACUGAGGGGGGCUGCUCCUAGUACGAGAGGACCGGAGUGGACGCAUCACUGGUGUUCGGGUUGUCAUGCCAAUGGCACUGCCCGGUAGCUAAAUGCGGAAGAGAUAAGUGCUGAAAGCAUCUAAGCACGAAACUUGCCCCGAGAUGAGUUCUCCCUGAGACUUAGGGUCUCCUGAAGGAACGUUGAAGACGACGACGUUGAUAGGCCGGGUGUGUAAGCGCAGCGAUGCGUUGAGCUAACCGGUACUAAUGAACCGUGAGGCUUAACCUUACAACGCCGAAG